This 253-nucleotide ribosomal RNA is filed under the name uncultured bacterium. Its description in RNAcentral is "partial 16S ribosomal RNA". It matches the Rfam family "Bacterial small subunit ribosomal RNA", at positions 524 to 776 of the family's 1533-position model. The record is from RNAcentral.
UACGGGGGGGGUAAGCGUUGUUCGGAAUUACUGGGCGUAAAGGGCUCGUAGGCGGCCAACUAAGUCAUACGUGAAAUCCCUCAGCUUAACUGGGGAACUGCGUGUGAUACUGGAUGGCUUGGAUUUGGGAGAGGGAUGCGGAAUUCCAGGUGUAGCGGUGAAAUGCGCAGAUAUCAGGAGGAACACCGGUGGCGAAGGCGGCUCGCUGGGCCUUACCUGACGCUGAGGAGCGAAAGCGUGGGGAGCGAACAGG